RNAcentral lists this ribosomal RNA (159 nucleotides) under Rhizophagus intraradices. RNAcentral describes it as "5.8S ribosomal RNA". It matches the Rfam family "5.8S ribosomal RNA". From Rfam's summary of the family: 5.8S ribosomal RNA (5.8S rRNA) is a component of the large subunit of the eukaryotic ribosome. It is transcribed by RNA polymerase I as part of the 45S precursor that also contains 18S and 28S rRNA. Functionally, it is thought that 5.8S rRNA may be involved in ribosome translocation. The record is from RNAcentral. Lineage: Eukaryota; Fungi; Glomeromycota; Glomeromycetes; Glomerales; Glomeraceae.
UCACUUUCAACAACGGAUCUCUUGGUUCUCGCAUCGAUGAAGAACGUAGCGAAGUACGAUAAGUAAUGUGAAUUGCAGAAUUCCGUGAAUCAUCGAAUUUUUGAACGCAAAAUGCACUCUCUGGUAUUCCAAGGGAGUAUGCCUGUUUGAGGGUUAAUU